RNAcentral lists this ribosomal RNA (447 nucleotides) under uncultured bacterium. Its description in RNAcentral is "bacterial SSU rRNA". It matches the Rfam family "Bacterial small subunit ribosomal RNA", at positions 355 to 825 of the family's 1533-position model. The record is from RNAcentral.
UCGGGAAUUUUGGGCAAUGGGCGAAAGCCUGACCCAGCAACGCCGCGUGAAGGAUGAAGUCUCUCGGGAUGUAAACUUCGUAAGAAUAGGAAGAAUAAAUGACGGUACUAUUUGUAAGGUCCGGCUAACUACGUGCCAGCAGCCGCGGUAAUACGUAGGGACCAAGCGUUGUUCGGAUUUACUGGGCGUAAAGGGCGCGUAGGCGGCGUGGUAAGUCACUUGUGAAAUCUCCGAGCUUAACUCGGAACGGUCAAGUGAUACUGCUGUGCUAGAGUACAGAAGGGGCAAUCGGAAUUCUUGGUGUAGCGGUGAAAUGCGUAGAUAUCAAGAGGAACACCUGAGGUGAAGACGGGUUGCUGGGCUGAUACUGACGCUGAGGCGCGAAAGCGUGGGUAGCGAACAGGAUUAGAUACCCAAGUAGUCCCUGAGCGGGCUGGCAAGGCGCAU